This 1104-nucleotide ribosomal RNA is filed under the name uncultured Sanguibacteraceae bacterium. RNAcentral describes it as "bacterial SSU rRNA". It matches the Rfam family "Bacterial small subunit ribosomal RNA", at positions 64 to 1177 of the family's 1533-position model. The record is from RNAcentral. Lineage: Bacteria; Bacillati; Actinomycetota; Actinomycetes; Micrococcales; Sanguibacteraceae.
GAACGAUGACGCUGGAGCUUGCUCCAGCCGAUUAGUGGCGAACGGGUGAGUAACACGUGAGUAACCUGCCCCAGACAUCGGGAUAACUCAGGGAAACCGGUGCUAAUACCGAAUAUUCUGCUUCUGUCACAUGACGGAGGUUGGAAAGGGUUUACUGGUCUGGGAUGGACUCGCGGCCUAUCAGCUUGUUGGUGAGGUAACGGCCCACCAAGGCGAUUACGGGUAGCCGGCCUGAGAGGGCGACCGGCCACAUUGGGACUGAGAUACGGCCCAGACUCCUACGGGAGGCAGCAGUGGGGAAUAUUGCACAAUGGGCGAAAGCCUGAUGCAGCGACGCCGCGUGAGGGAUGAAGGCCUUCGGGUUGUAAACCUCUUUCGACAGGGAAGAGGCGAAAGUGACGGUACCUGUAGAAGAAGCACCGGCUAACUACGUGCCAGCAGCCGCGGUAAUACGUAGGGUGCAAGCGUUGUCCGGAAUUAUUGGGCGUAAAGAGCUCGUAGGUGGUCUGUUGCGCCUGGUGUGAAAUCUCACGGCUUAACCGUGAGCGUGCAUCGGGUACGGGCAGACUUGAGUGUGGUAGGGGAGACUGGAAUUCCUGGUGUAGCGGUGGAAUGCGCAGAUAUCAGGAGGAACACCAAUGGCGAAGGCAGGUCUCUGGGCCACUACUGACACUGAGGAGCGAAAGCAUGGGGAGCGAACAGGAUUAGAUACCCUGGUAGUCCAUGCCGUAAACGUUGGGCACUAGGUGUGGGGCUCUUUCCACGAGUUCCGCGCCGCAGCUAACGCAUUAAGUGCCCCGCCUGGGGAGUACGGCCGCAAGGCUAAAACUCAAAGGAAUUGACGGGGGCCCGCACAAGCGGCGGAGCAUGCGGAUUAAUUCGAUGCAACGCGAAGAACCUUACCAAGGCUUGACAUGUACCGGAAAGCUCUAGAGAUAGAGCCCCCUUUUUGGUCGGUACACAGGUGGUGCAUGGUUGUCGUCAGCUCGUGUCGUGAGAUGUUGGGUUAAGUCCCGCAACGAGCGCAACCCUUGUCCUAUGUUGCCAGCACGUUAUGGUGGGAACUCAUAGGAAACUGCCGGGGUCAACUCGGAGGAAGGUGGG